AGAGUUUGAUCAUGGCUCAGAUUGAACGCUGGCGGCAGGCCUAACACAUGCAAGUCGAACGGUAACAGGAAGCAGCUUGCUGCUUCGCUGACGAGUGGCGGACGGGUGAGUAAUGUCUGGGAAACUGCCUGAUGGAGGGGGAUAACUACUGGAAACGGUAGCUAAUACCGCAUAACGUCGCAAGACCAAAGAGGGGGACCUUCGGGCCUCUUGCCAUCGGAUGUGCCCAGAUGGGAUUAGCUAGUAGGUGGGGUAACGGCUCACCUAGGCGACGAUCCCUAGCUGGUCUGAGAGGAUGACCAGCCACACUGGAACUGAGACACGGUCCAGACUCCUACGGGAGGCAGCAGUGGGGAAUAUUGCACAAUGGGCGCAAGCCUGAUGCAGCCAUGCCGCGUGUAUGAAGAAGGCCUUCGGGUUGUAAAGUACUUUCAGCGGGGAGGAAGGCGAUAAGGUUAAUAACCUUGUCGAUUGACGUACCCGCAGAAGAAGCACCGGCUA
Molecule: ribosomal RNA, 501 nt
Filed under: Enterobacter sp. 29-10-2-9
Lineage: Bacteria; Pseudomonadati; Pseudomonadota; Gammaproteobacteria; Enterobacterales; Enterobacteriaceae
Description: bacterial SSU rRNA
Rfam family: Bacterial small subunit ribosomal RNA
Source: RNAcentral